AAAGCGGUGGACGUGCCGUCGUAAUCGAGUGCGUGGAAAAAAUUAAAGUGGCCACAGAGGCCGUGUGCCGAUUUGUCGUCCCAAGAGGGAAACGCGUGUGCUCCGCUAGGAGAAAACAAAGAAGGUGAUUCGGCUUCUACACCUGGCCUCGUAACAACUUCACGGCCAGCAACUCAGGAACGACGAACGGAGAAUCGCCUCACCAACAUCAAUCACAAAAGGGCCAAGAAAGCCACGUGCUCAUCCGGGCCAAAGCCAAACACCACGAGAAGAUCAUCAGAAAGGGGGUCGAAUUUCGACCCUCCUUUUUUUUACCACUACAACCUUGGGAAAAACUUCCUUUUCUCGAGCAAAACCCUUUUGACAUUAACCUUUCAAAUCUGAUUUUGCAAAAUCUUCGGCAUUCACCACGUUACCACCAAACCUUCCACCCAUCAAUCACCAACCGUCUGGCGAGCCCAGCUGCAAAACAUCCCCACCGGAACAAGCUGCACAGCUACGAGGGCCGCAUCCUACGUUUGAGGUUAACCUUGCCAGGUGGUCGUUCAUCAGAGGUGUCAUGGAGGUGCUGGAUCAGAUUUCUAUACCGGUCGCUUCCAUUUCGCUACUCCAGUGGCGUGAUUCCGGUGG
This is a long non-coding RNA of Uranotaenia lowii, 630 nucleotides long. RefSeq lists it as uncharacterized. Lineage: Eukaryota; Metazoa; Arthropoda; Insecta; Diptera; Culicidae. The record is from RefSeq and is a predicted model, not a curated record. The transcript is spliced from 4 exons.